GCUCUCGACGAGCAGCCCACUCCUGUGACCCAGCUUGCUCCAACCGAACAGCCCACUCUCGUGGCCUAGCCUGUUCCCGAUGAGCAGUCCACUCUUAUGGCCCAACCUGCUCCAGCCAAGCAGUCUACUCUCGUAGCCUAAAUCGGUCCAAGAUUAGUUCAACCAUCCCGGUUUCAAAUUUUUGGGCUUACGAUAGAACCAAUGGGCAUUCUCACCAAAUUUCUCCGUGGAUUUGACAUUUCCCAACUCAAAUCUCGUGC
Molecule: long non-coding RNA, 260 nt
Filed under: Malus domestica (apple)
Lineage: Eukaryota; Viridiplantae; Streptophyta; Magnoliopsida; Rosales; Rosaceae
Description: long non-coding RNA (MDOM_LNC006215)
Source: RNAcentral